UAAAACCAGCACCUCAAGUGGUCAGGAUGAUUAUUGGGCCUAAAGCAUCCGUAGCCGGCUUUGUAAGUUUUCGGUUAAAUCCAUGUGCUCAACGCAUGGGCUGCCGAAAAUACUGCAUAGCUAGGGAGUGGGAGAGGUAGACGGUACUCAGUAGGUAGGGGUAAAAUCCUUUGAUCUAUUGAUGACCACCUGUGGCGAAGGCGGUCUACCAGAACACGUUCGACGGUGAGGGAUGAAAGCUGGGGGAGCAAACCGGAUUAGAUACCCGGGUAGUCCCAGCUGUAAACGAUGCAGACUCGAUGAUGCAUUGGCAUAAUAGCCAUUGCAGUGUCGCAGGGAAGCCGUUAAGUCUGCCGCCUGGGAAGUACGUACGCAAGUAUG
Molecule: ribosomal RNA, 381 nt
Filed under: uncultured crenarchaeote
Lineage: Archaea; Thermoproteati; Thermoproteota
Description: bacterial SSU rRNA
Rfam family: Archaeal small subunit ribosomal RNA
Source: RNAcentral